This is a non-coding RNA of Triticum urartu, 105 nucleotides long. The record is from RefSeq and is a predicted model, not a curated record. NCBI's taxonomy places the organism in Eukaryota, Viridiplantae, Streptophyta, Magnoliopsida, Poales, Poaceae.
UGGACAGGGCUGCCUCCUGAACAUCCUCUCUCUGAGCAUUUGGAAAAAGAAUGGAAAAAGGAAGAGAUGAGGACAAUGUUCAAGAACGAGAGGAAGAGAGGCUAG